GGGGAAGCUUCACAAAGGAAGUGACAUUUGAAGCCAUGUGACACUGGGUGACAGUGCUUUCUCCAGCUCCAGCCUCAUGUUACUGAGGUCCUUCUUUUUGAUAGACCCUGUUGGGCCCUGAGGAACGAGGAAAGGACCAACUAAGUAUUCUCAGACACUGCCGUAUGUGCCCCAGGACGCAGACUUUCCUGGUUGUGAUCCCCAGCUGUCAAAAUGACACCAUAUAGACGUGGCAAAGUCUUGGCUAAGCAAAACCUCGGCUCCCUGCAGUUAAUAAAGGAACUUGGGAUUCUGGUUCUCGGGCAGUCUGAGCUACAGUAGGCCCUGCAUCCCUGGGAAGCUUACAGAAAUGCAGUAUCUUUGCCAGGCCCUCCGAAUCAGGACUCAUUGUAAUGGGACCUGCAGGCACUCAUCUGCACAGUAAGUUUGAGGUCUGCCUUAAACACUGACUCGGCUUUCCUGUCCCCAGAGUGAUGUCAAGGGCCAAGGACAGCGGUAUGGCUCAGAGAGGGUGCAGACCAGGCCCAAGACUUUAGGACUGGGCAGGUGGUGGAAUGCGGAUCAGAGCAGGAAGCGGAGGUGUAACAGCUGGGCAGGAGAGCCAGUCCGAGCCAGCGGCCAGUUCGUGUGUCCCUAGCUUGGGAGCCAUCUCUGGAAAACGCGGAGAGAGCUCUGCACACACCUGCAGUUGCUGGUCCCCUGCCGCUUGCUCUUCCCUCCGCCACGGCAUCUGACUGCCAUCCGGACAGCCUGGGUUACUGCUGUUGCUUCCACUGAGGGUUUGAGACACGAAGGGCCAGUAAGUAACGGGAGAAUGCGUCCCAUUGGGGUCAGGGGUGAGCACAGUCCUACAGCAGUGUCCUGCUGCCCCGCUCAGGGAGGGUC
Molecule: long non-coding RNA, 885 nt
Filed under: Fukomys damarensis (Damara mole-rat)
Lineage: Eukaryota; Metazoa; Chordata; Mammalia; Rodentia; Bathyergidae
Description: lncRNA (ENSFDAG00000031501.1)
Source: RNAcentral